Molecule: ribosomal RNA, 229 nt
Filed under: uncultured bacterium
Lineage: Bacteria
Description: partial 16S ribosomal RNA
Rfam family: Bacterial small subunit ribosomal RNA
Source: RNAcentral
CGUGUAGGCGGAGCAUCAGGUGCCGUGUGAAAGCCCCGGUCUCAACCCGGGAACGGCUCGGCAAACCGGUGCUCUUGAGGCAGGUAGAGGCGACUGGAACGACUGGUGGAGCGGUGAAAUGCGUAGAUAUCAGUUGGAACGCCGGAGGCGAAAGCGGGUCGCUGGACCUGUCCUGACGCUGAGACGCGAAAGCGUGGGUAGCGAACAGGAUUAGAUACCCUGGUAGUCC